This 782-nucleotide ribosomal RNA is filed under the name uncultured Neocallimastigales. RNAcentral's name for it is "partial large subunit ribosomal RNA". It matches the Rfam family "Eukaryotic large subunit ribosomal RNA", at positions 23 to 628 of the family's 3401-position model. Lineage: Eukaryota; Fungi; Neocallimastigomycota; Neocallimastigomycetes; Neocallimastigales. The record is from RNAcentral.
GAGACUCUGUGCGCGUGCAUAUCAAUAAGCGGAGGAAAAGAAACUAACAAGGAUUCCCCUUAGUAACGGCGAGUGAAGCGGGAAGAGCUCAAAUUUGAAAUCUUCAAGGGUUCUACCUUUACGAAUUGUAGUUUAUAGAAGUGUUUUCUGUUAGUAGAGUGGCAAAAGUUCUUUGGAAUAGGACAUCAUAGAGGGUGAGAAUCCCGUAUUUGACCGUUACUUUCCAGCUGUGUGAUACACUUUCAAAGAGUCGGAUUGUUUGGGAAUGCAGUCCAAAAUGGGUGGUAAAUUUCAUCUAAAGCUAAAUAUUGGCGAGAGACCGAUAGCGAGCAAGUACCGUGAGGGAAAGAUGAAAAGAACUUUGAAAAGAGAGUUAAACAGUACGUGAAAUUGUCAAAAGGGAAGCGUUUGACACCAGUGUUGUUUAGUUGAAAAUCAAUUCAAUAAUUUUUGAUUUUAAGUAGUAUUGACUUCAUCAGCUUGCUGCUUUCUUUUCAGGAAUUAUUGAAUGCACUUUUCAGUUAACAAGUCAACAUCAAUUUCUAUUGUUGUAAAAGGGUAAGAGGAAGGUGGCUUACGCUUCGGCGUAAGUGUUUAUAGCCUUUUACCUCUGCAAUCGGAGAGAUUGAGGACAGCUAGCGUAGACUCCUUCGGGGUUAGAUACACUUGUGCUAAGCUAUAGCCUUGUAUAGACAACUUGUUGGACUUAUGCUCAGUCAUGUAGCUUACUCGCUAGAUGCUAUUUUACCUACGCUUAGGAUGUUGAGUCGUAGAGCACGCAG